RNAcentral lists this ribosomal RNA (497 nucleotides) under uncultured bacterium. RNAcentral's name for it is "partial 16S ribosomal RNA". It matches the Rfam family "Bacterial small subunit ribosomal RNA", at positions 28 to 507 of the family's 1533-position model. The record is from RNAcentral.
GAUGAACGCUGGCGGCGUGCCUAAUACAUGCAAGUCGAGCGAACAGACUAGGAGCUUGCUCCUCUGACGUUAGCGGCGGACGGGUUAGUAACACGUGGAUAACCUACCUAUAAGACUGGGAUAACUUCGUGAAACCGGAGCUAAUACCGGAUAAUAUAUUUAACCGCAUGGUUCAAUAGUGAAAGACGGUUUUGCUGUCACUUAUAGAUGGAUCCGCGCCGCAUUAGCUAGUUGGUAAGGUAACGGCUUACCAAGGCAACGAUGCGUAGCCGACCUGAGAGGGUGAUCGGCCACACUGGAACUGAGACACGGUCCAGACUCCUACGGGAGGCAGCAGUAGGGAAUCUUCCGCAAAGGGCGAAAGCUUGACGGAGCAACGCCGCGUGAGUGAUGAAGGUAUUCGGAUCGUAAAACUCUGUUAUUAGGGAAGAACAAAUGUGUAGGUAACUAUGCACGUCUUGAAGGUACCUAAUCAGAAAGACACGGCUAACUACGUG